GUUACAGCUUUGGUUCAAAUUUCAUAAAUCAUGAACCGAUGUACAGUAACUGCAAAUGUAAACAAAUAGGUGAACGCACACCCAGUAUACAGACUGUUAUUUGCCUUUAAGACUCCUAAGUCACAUAUCACUGAUAUAACAUUCGUAGUAAAUUUGUUGUUUCAAGAUCACUGUAUAUUAUUUCUCAUGAUUCAGGAUUGGUACCCCCCCCCCCUUCCAGACAAACAGAAAUAUAGAUGAUACAUCCCAAAAAAUAAAUAUGAAAUUAACUCACACACACAAAGGUUUCAAGAUACUGUGUAUAAUUUCAUUCACAACUGUAUUUUAAACUACAUACAUACGGAAACCAACCUGUCACUCGACCAGUUAAUUGUUUCAAAAUAUUCUGCUUUGAUAACUACAUGUUUAAUACACAUGAAGAAUUUCGUUUCCAUAGAUGUCCCCUCUGAUUUAUCCUUCCAUAAAUGAUAAAAGUACAAUAAAAUCCCAAGUGAUAUUCUUUGGUCAAUACAUAAAAAUUACUUAUAAUCAACAAUGUUUGUUUAAUUCUUUAUAAAACGUCGCACACAAGCAGCUGCAUUGGAUACAAAAUAGACAGUUUAAUUAAAGACAAAUCACUCGACUAGUUUUCUCUCAGUUUGAUCUUCGUCCUUCGAUCUUUGAUAAGUAUUACCGUUAGCUAUUCCACAAUUUGUUGAAAGAAAGCUCGUAGAAUGCAUAGAUAAUAUAUACCCACUCUUAAAUCUCACUAGGAAAGUUUUAUUUAUCAUAAUAAUAUAAAUACUGUACUCGAAAACUUCGCGUCUUCGCGCUGCCAUGUUUGAUAAAAUCAAUCGACUUCGCUCCCCCCGGAUUGAAAACUAAA
This 865-nucleotide long non-coding RNA is filed under the name Paramuricea clavata. Lineage: Eukaryota; Metazoa; Cnidaria; Anthozoa; Malacalcyonacea; Plexauridae. The record is from RNAcentral.